CUUUCGGUAAAGAGCGGCGGACGGGUGAGUAACGCGUGGGUAACCUGCCCUGUACACACGGAUAACAUACCGAAAGGUAUGCUAAUACGAGAUAAAAUACUUUUAUCGCAUGGUAGAAGUAUCAAAGCUUUUGCGGUACAGGAUGGACCCGCGUCUGAUUAGCUAGUUGGUAAGGUAACGGCUUACCAAGGCGACGAUCAGUAGCCGACCUGAGAGGGUGAUCGGCCACAUUGGAACUGAGACACGGUCCAAACUCCUACGGAAGGCAGCAG
RNAcentral lists this ribosomal RNA (272 nucleotides) under uncultured bacterium. RNAcentral's name for it is "partial 16S ribosomal RNA". It matches the Rfam family "Bacterial small subunit ribosomal RNA", at positions 82 to 354 of the family's 1533-position model. The record is from RNAcentral.